UACGGAGGGGGCUAGCGUUGUUCGGAAUUACUGGGCGUAAAGCGCACGUAGGCGGCUUUGUAAGUUAGAGGUGAGAGCCCAGGGCUUAACCCUGGAAUUGCCUUUAAGACUGCAUCGCUCGAAUUGUGGAGAGGUGAGUGGAAUUCCGAGUGUAGAGGUGAAAUGCGUAGAGAUCCGGAAGAACACCGGUGGCGAAGGCGGCCUGCUGGGCAGUUGCUGACACUGAGGCGCGACAGCGUGGGGAGCAAACAGG
This 253-nucleotide ribosomal RNA is filed under the name uncultured bacterium. RNAcentral describes it as "partial 16S ribosomal RNA". It matches the Rfam family "Bacterial small subunit ribosomal RNA", at positions 524 to 776 of the family's 1533-position model. The record is from RNAcentral.